GUGAAGGAUGAAGUUCCUCGGAAUGUAAACUUCAAUAGUAUGUCAGGAAGAUCUGACCAGCAUACGAAAGGGGUGGCUAACUCCGUGCCAGCAGCCGCGGUAACACGGAGACCCCUAGCGUUGUUCGGAAUCACUGGGCUUAAAGAGCGUGUAGGCGGAACGGUAAGUACUUUGUGAAAUCCCCCGGCUCAACCGGGGAAUUGCUUGGUAUACUAUCGUUCUUGAGGCAGGUAGGGGCUGCUGGAACCUUAGGUGGAGCGGUGAAAUGCGUAGAUAUCUAAGGGAACGCCUGUGGCGAAAGCGGGCAGCUGGACCUGUUCUGACGCUGAGACGCGAAAGCGUAGGGAGCGAACGGGAUUANAUACCCCGGUAGUCUACGCCGUAAACGAUGCGCACUAGGUUCGAGA
RNAcentral lists this ribosomal RNA (407 nucleotides) under uncultured bacterium. RNAcentral's name for it is "bacterial SSU rRNA". It matches the Rfam family "Bacterial small subunit ribosomal RNA", at positions 401 to 827 of the family's 1533-position model. The record is from RNAcentral.